GGUUAAGCGACUAAGCGUACACGGUGGAUGCCCUGGCAGUCAGAGGCGAUGAAGGACGUGCUAAUCUGCGAAAAGCGUCGGUAAGGUGAUAUGAACCGUUAUAACCGGCGAUGUCCGAAUGGGGAAACCCAGUGCAAUUCGUUGCACUAUCGUUAACUGAAUACAUAGGUUAACGAGGCGAACCGGGGAACUGAAACAUCUAAGUACCCCGAGGAAAAGAAAUCAACCGAGAUUCCCCCAGUAGCGGCGAGCGAACGGGGAGCAGCCCAGAGUCUGAAUCAGCUUGUGUGUUAGUGGAACGGUCUGGAAAGUCCGACGGUACAGGGUGAUAGUCCCGUACACCAAAAUGCACAGGUUGUGAACUCGAAGAGUAGGGCGGGACACGUGGUAUCCUGUCUGAAUAUGGGGGGACCAUCCUCCAAGGCUAAAUACUCCUGACUGACCGAUAGUGAACCAGUACCGUGAGGGAAAGGCGAAAAGAACCCCGGCGAGGGGAGUGAAAAAGAACCUGAAACCGUGUACGUACAAGCAGUGGGAGCACCUUCGGGUGUGACUGCGUACCUUUUGUAUAAUGGGUCAGCGACUUAUAUUCUGUAGCAAGGUUAACCGUAUAGGGGAGCCGCAGGGAAACCGAGUCUUAACUGGGCGUUAAGUUGCAGGGUAUAGACCCGAAACCCGGUGAUCUAGCCAUGGGCAGGUUGAAGGUUGGGUAACACUAACUGGAGGACCGAACCGACUAAUGUUGAAAAAUUAGCGGAUGACUUGUGGCUGGGGGUGAAAGGCCAAUCAAACCGGGAGAUAGCUGGUUCUCCCCGAAAGCUAUUUAGGUAGCGCCUCGUGAAUUCAUCUUCGGGGGUAGAGCACUGUUUCGGCUAGGGGGUCAUCCCGACUUACCAACCCGAUGCAAACUACGAAUACCGAAGAAUGUUAUCACGGGAGACACACGGCGGGUGCUAACGUCCGUCGUGAAGAGGGAAACAACCCAGACCGCCAGCUAAGGUCCCAAAGUCAUGGUUAAGUGGGAAACGAUGUGGGAAGGCACAGACAGCCAGGAUGUUGGCUUAGAAGCAGCCAUCAUUUAAAGAAAGCGUAAUAGCUCACUGGUCGAGUCGGCCUGCGCGGAAGAUGUAACGGGGCUAAACCAUGCACCGAAGCUGCGGCAGCGACACUAUGUGUUGUUGGGUAGGGGAGCGUUCUGUAAGCCUGUGAAGGUGACCUGUGAGGGUUGCUGGAGGUAUCAGAAGUGCGAAUGCUGACAUAAGUAACGAUAAAGCGGGUGAAAAGCCCGCUCGCCGGAAGACCAAGGGUUCCUGUCCAACGUUAAUCGGGGCAGGGUGAGUCGACCCCUAAGGCGAGGCCGAAAGGCGUAGUCGAUGGGAAACAGGUUAAUAUUCCUGUACUUGGUGUUACUGCGAAGGGGGGACGGAGAAGGCUAUGUUAGCCGGGCGACGGUUGUCCCGGUUUAAGCAUGUAGGCUGAUUGUCCAGGCAAAUCCGGAUAAUCAAGGCUGAGGUGUGAUGACGAGGCACUACGGUGCUGAAGUAACAAAUGCCCUGCUUCCAGGAAAAGCCUCUAAGCAUCAGGUAACAUUAAAUCGUACCCCAAACCGACACAGGUGGUCAGGUAGAGAAUACCAAGGCGCUUGAGAGAACUCGGGUGAAGGAACUAGGCAAAAUGGUGCCGUAACUUCGGGAGAAGGCACGCUGGUGUGUAGGUGAAGUCCCUGCGGAUGGAGCUGAGACCAGUCGAAGAUACCAGCUGGCUGCAACUGUUUAUUAAAAACACAGCACUGUGCAAACACGAAAGUGGACGUAUACGGUGUGACGCCUGCCCGGUGCCGGAAGGUUAAUUGAUGGGGUUAUCCGUAAGGAGAAGCUCUUGAUCGAAGCCCCGGUAAACGGCGGCCGUAACUAUAACGGUCCUAAGGUAGCGAAAUUCCUUGUCGGGUAAGUUCCGACCUGCACGAAUGGCGUAAUGAUGGCCAGGCUGUCUCCACCCGAGACUCAGUGAAAUUGAACUCGCUGUGAAGAUGCAGUGUACCCGCGGCAAGACGGAAAGACCCCGUGAACCUUUACUAUAGCUUGACACUGAACAUUGAGCCUUGAUGUGUAGGAUAGGUGGGAGGCUUUGAAGCGUGGACGCCAGUCUGCGUGGAGCCAACCUUGAAAUACCACCCUUUAAUGUUUGAUGUUCUAACGUUGGCCCCUGACCGGGGUUGCGGACAGUGUCUGGUGGGUAGUUUGACUGGGGCGGUCUCCUCCCAAAGCGUAACGGAGGAGCACGAAGGUUAGCUAAUCCUGGUCGGACAUCAGGAGGUUAGUGCAAUGGCAUAAGCUAGCUUGACUGCGAGCGUGACGGCGCGAGCAGGUGCGAAAGCAGGUCAUAGUGAUCCGGUGGUUCUGAAUGGAAGGGCCAUCGCUCAACGGAUAAAAGGUACUCCGGGGAUAACAGGCUGAUACCGCCCAAGAGUUCAUAUCGACGGCGGUGUUUGGCACCUCGAUGUCGGCUCAUCACAUCCUGGGGCUGAAGUAGGUCCCAAGGGUAUGGCUGUUCGCCAUUUAAAGUGGUACGCGAGCUGGGUUUAGAACGUCGUGAGACAGUUCGGUCCCUAUCUGCCGUGGGCGCUGGAGAAUUGAGGGGGGCUGCUCCUAGUACGAGAGGACCGGAGUGGACGCAUCACUGGUGUUCGGGUUGUCAUGCCAAUGGCACUGCCCGGUAGCUAAAUGCGGAAGAGAUAAGUGCUGAAAGCAUCUAAGCACGAAACUUGCCCCGAGAUGAGUUCUCCCUGAGACUUUAAGUCUCCUGAAGGAACGUUAAAGACGAUGACGUUGAUAGGCCGGGUGUGUAAGCGCAGCGAUGCGUUGAGCUAACCGGUACUAAUGAACCGUGAGGCUUAACCUU
Molecule: ribosomal RNA, 2901 nt
Filed under: Klebsiella pneumoniae
Lineage: Bacteria; Pseudomonadati; Pseudomonadota; Gammaproteobacteria; Enterobacterales; Enterobacteriaceae
Description: 23S ribosomal RNA
Rfam family: Bacterial large subunit ribosomal RNA
Source: RNAcentral